GAUGAACGCUGGCGGCGUGCCUAAUACAUGCAAGUCGAGCGAACGGACGAGAAGCUUGCUUCUCUGAUGUUAGCGGCGGACGGGUGAGUAACACGUGGAUAACCUACCUAUAAGACUGGGAUAACUUCGGGAAACCGGAGCUAAUACCGGAUAAUAUUUUGAACCGCAUGGUUCAAAAGUGAAAGACGGUCUUGCUGUCACUUAUAGAUGGAUCCGCGCUGCAUUAGCUAGUUGGUAAGGUAACGGCUUACCAAGGCAACGAUGCAUAGCCGACCUGAGAGGGUGAUCGGCCACACUGGAACUGAGACACGGUCCAGACUCCUACGGGAGGCAGCAGUAGGGAAUCUUCCGCAAUGGGCGAAAGCCUGACGGAGCAACGCCGCGUGAGUGAUGAAGGUCUUCGGAUCGUAAAACUCUGUUAUUAGGGAAGAACAUAUGUGUACGUAACUGUGCACAUCUUGACGGUACCUAAUCAGAAAGCCACGGCUAACUACGUG
Molecule: ribosomal RNA, 497 nt
Filed under: uncultured bacterium
Lineage: Bacteria
Description: partial 16S ribosomal RNA
Rfam family: Bacterial small subunit ribosomal RNA
Source: RNAcentral